Molecule: long non-coding RNA, 484 nt
Organism: Columba livia (rock pigeon)
Lineage: Eukaryota; Metazoa; Chordata; Aves; Columbiformes; Columbidae
Exons: 2
Source: RefSeq, a predicted model, not a curated record
UCCCACAGUGAGACAGAGGGCUUUUCCCCCUGCAUCUCCAUGAUUGGUAUGUGGCACAUCCCGGCUGCGGGGCGAGGCUCUCACUGGUUCCCAGCACCGCAGUCCCUGAGCCCCAACAGCAGCUCUGGCAGCAGCGAAUGACAUCAGAGCCACCAGGCAGCUCGUUGGUGAACCGCGGUUUUGGGGACACCAUCGCACCGUGCUCAUCCUCCACAGCCCAAGUAUGUCGGCUGAGUCCCCGCCUUGCAAAAAGAUAUUUUAAUCUGCUUCCCAAGGGGUCAGUGUCGCCGAUAUCCCCGUAUCUGCAUGCAUAUUUCUAUAUCCCAAUAUAGAAAUGGUACGGAUCUGUGCUACUCUGUGUGUGCAUUUUGAAAGAAAACCAUAGCAGAGAGUUACUAACCUAUUGUGAACGCCAUUCCUUCUUCCAUUAACAAAUCACUGUCAUUGGCUACAAAAGAAAAUAAAAACCGCGUUUAUGGCUGUU